GGUCCACAUAUAUAUCCCAGAAGAUUGCUUGGUUUUGACCUUUUCCUCACGUGGUAUGGCAUCCAGUAGGGUCAGUGACAGAUGGACUUGUGCUUAAAUCUAUCUGAUUCAACAUUUCUGAGUUGCCCAACUACAUAUUUCACCACCCAGCUACUCAUCAGAUCAGUUCAGAAUCUCCCCUGCUCCAACAACAAAGUAAAAUUUCUAUUUAAGGAAUGUCAAUCAAACUGGGUUUUAUGAACUUGUUCUCCCCCACC
RNAcentral lists this long non-coding RNA (257 nucleotides) under Carica papaya (papaya). RNAcentral's name for it is "long non-coding RNA (CPAP_LNC009950)". The record is from RNAcentral. Lineage: Eukaryota; Viridiplantae; Streptophyta; Magnoliopsida; Brassicales; Caricaceae.